RNAcentral lists this ribosomal RNA (1947 nucleotides) under human gut metagenome. RNAcentral's name for it is "bacterial LSU rRNA". The stretch from base 266 to 1947 matches the Rfam family "Bacterial large subunit ribosomal RNA", at positions 1 to 1975 of the family's 2925-position model. The record is from RNAcentral.
GGAGAAGCCCCGGUGCGCCCGGUGCGGCGACGCCGGGUUCCUGCCGGACGGCUCCAUGUGCGCCUGCCUGCGCAGCUACUACGCCCGGGAGCAGAUCGCGGAGCUGUCCCACAUGCUGGACAUCGGCUCCCAGAGCUUCGACACCUUCCGCCUGGACUACUAUUCCACGGACCGGGGCGGCCUGCCCCGCUCCCCCCGGGAGGCGGCCCAGCGGAAUCUGGAGAUCUGCCAGUCCUUCGCCCGGGACUUCCGCCCCGGGAAGCAGAAUCUGCUGCUGUUCGGCGCGCCGGGCCUGGGCAAGACGUUUCUGUCCGCCUGCAUCGCCCGGGUGGUCAGCGAGGACGGCUUCUCCGUGGUGUACGACACGGCGGGGCAUAUUUUCUCCCAGUUCGAGGCCGCCAAGUUCCGCCGGGACGAGAAUCUGCCGGGACCAUCCGGUAAGGCUAAAUACUCCCGAGAGACCGAUAGCGAACCAGUACUGUGAAGGAAAGGUGAAAAGCACUUCGAAUAGAAGAGUGAAAUAGUCCCUGAAACCGUGCGCCUACAAGCGGUCGGAGCUGCUUCAGCAGUGACGGCGUGCCUUUUGCAUAAUGAACCUACGAGUUACUUUUUCCGGCAAGGUUAAGGAUCUUGAGAUCCGCAGCCGAAGCGAAAGCGAGUCUUAACAGGGCGAUUAGUCGGAAGGAGUAGACGCGAAACCAAGUGAUCUACCCUUGGUCAGGUUGAAGGUUAGGUAACACUAACUGGAGGACCGAACCGAUAAGCGUUGAAAAGCUUCCGGAUGAACUGAGGGUGGGGGUGAAAGGCUAAUCAAACUUGGAGAUAGCUCGUACUCCCCGAAAUGCAUUUAGGUGCAGCCUUGGGAAUUACUACUGUGAGGUAGAGCGACUGAUAAGAUGCGAGGGCUUCACCGCCUAUCAAGUCUUGAUAAACUCCGAAUGCGCAGUAGUUCGAUCCCAGGAGUGAGGGCAUGGGUGCUAAGGUCCAUGUCCUAAAGGAGAAGAAUCCAGACCAUCAGCUAAGGUCCCGAAAUAAUUGCUAAGUUGAACUAACGAAGUCAGAUUGCUAAGACAGCUAGGAUGUUGGCUUGGAAGCAGCCAUUCAUUUAAAGAGUGCGUAACAGCUCACUAGUCGAGGAGUUUGGCGUGGAUAAUAAUCGGGCAUAAGUAUUCUACCGAAGCUUUGGGAUGAGAAAUCAUCGGUAGGGGAGCAUUCCACUCGGCGUCGAAGGUGAAGCGCGAGCUUUGCUGGAGCGUGUGGAAAAGCAAAUGUAGGUAUAAGUAACGAUAAAGGGGGUGGGAAACCCCCUCGCCGAAAGACUAAGGUUUCCUGAUCAACGCUAAUCGGAUCAGGGUAAGUCGGGUCCUAAGGCUCAGCCGAACGGCGAGGCCGAUGGCAGAACCGGUUAAUAUUCCGGUACUACCUGUGGGAGUGACGUGGAGACGGAGUCGUGACAGCGCCGCGGACUGACGGAAUAGUCCGUUGAAGGGUGUAGAUGCUGAUUGUUCCAGGCAAAUCCGGAGCAAGAGUCGAACCUGACAGUAUGGAGCGUUCUUAGAACAAUCCAAUAGUGCGUGUAAUCAUACUUCCAAGAAAAUCCGCUAAACUUAAUCCUGCAGGUACCCGUACCGCAAACGGACACACGUAGUCGGGUUGAAUAUACUAAGGCGCUUGAGUGAUUCACGGUUAAGGAACUAGGCAAACUGACCCUGUAACUUCGGGAUAAAGGGUCCUCGCUUAACGGCGAGGCGCAGAGAAUAGGUCCAGGCAACUGUUUAACAAAAACACAGGGCUGUGCAAAAUUGAAAGAUGAAGUAUACAGCCUGACACCUGCCCGGUGCUGGAAGGUUAAGAGGAGAUGUCAUCGCAAGAGAAGCAUUGAAUUGAAGCCCCAGUAAACGGCGGCCGUAACUAUAACGGUCCUAAGGUAGCGAAAUUCCUUGUCGG